UGUCCAUUAAUGGUCAGUUGCAGGUAAUGAGUAUUCAUAAAACUAGAGUUUCUUUCUUUUCAAGGUUUUCAACUACAGGGUUCGAAGCCAACAUGGAUGUCUUGGAUUCAUGAAUCUGCUUAAAGGUUGACGAGAUGCCAGUGAAGGGGUGCUGCAUACACAUGAAUGCGGAGCCGUGUAAAUACUGGUUCAGUAAACCUAGCUCUUUUUCUUGUGUUAAUGAUGACUGCGUUUGUUCGGUUCCACUGAAAGUCAAUGAAGUAACUUUCUCGCGGCGCACUGAAACACUGACAGACAAUGCAUGAACUUUUAUUUCAUGUCUUGUUGUCUAAUACAAUUUUGUUUUCUUUCAAGGAUGUGACCGAAGAGGAGCUGUGACUGGUUUGCUGCACAAUGGUGAAUUAAAAUGAUAUACAUCAAUUUAAAUGCUUGUUUAGUGGCAUUCAAUAGACUGUUUGAGUUAAUUUUCUCAUUUUCAGUUUUAUAAACUGCUU
Molecule: non-coding RNA, 494 nt
Organism: Danio rerio (zebrafish)
Lineage: Eukaryota; Metazoa; Chordata; Actinopteri; Cypriniformes; Danionidae
Source: Ensembl